GAUGAACGCUGGCGGCGUGCCUAAUACACGCAAGUCGAGCGAACAGACGAGGAGCUUUCUCCUCUGGCGUUAGCGGCGGAAGGGUGAGUAACAAGUGGAUAAACUACCUAUAAGACUGGGAUAAAUUCGGGAAACCGGAGCUAAUACCGGAUAAUAUAUUGAACCGCAUGGUUCAAUAGUGAAAGACGGUUUUGCUGUCACUUAUAGAUUGAUCCGCGCCGCAUUAGCUAGUUGGUAAGGUAACGGCUUACCAAGGCAACGAUGCGUAGCCGACCUGAGAGGGUGAUCGGCCACACUGGAACUGAGACACGGUCCAGACUCCUACGGGAGGCAGCAGUAGGGAAUCUUCCGCAAUGGGCGAAAGCCUGACGGAGCAACGCCGCGUGAGUGAUGAAGGUCUUCGGAUCGUAAAACUCUGUUAUUAGGGAAGAACAAAUGUGUAAGUAACUAUGCACGUCUUGACGGUACCUAAUCAGAAAGCCACGGCUAACUACGUG
Molecule: ribosomal RNA, 497 nt
Filed under: uncultured bacterium
Lineage: Bacteria
Description: partial 16S ribosomal RNA
Rfam family: Bacterial small subunit ribosomal RNA
Source: RNAcentral